UCCCUGGUAAUCCAGUGGUUAAGACCCUGAGCUUUCACUUCCGAGGGCCCAGGUUCAAUCCCUGGUCAGGGAA
This 73-nucleotide transfer RNA is filed under the name Ovis aries (sheep). It matches the Rfam family "tRNA". From Rfam's summary of the family: Transfer RNA (tRNA) molecules are approximately 80 nucleotides in length. Their secondary structure includes four short double-helical elements and three loops (D, anti-codon, and T loops). The record is from Rfam by way of RNAcentral. Lineage: Eukaryota; Metazoa; Chordata; Mammalia; Artiodactyla; Bovidae.